RNAcentral lists this long non-coding RNA (339 nucleotides) under Coturnix japonica (Japanese quail). RNAcentral's name for it is "lncRNA (ENSCJPG00005014403.1)". Lineage: Eukaryota; Metazoa; Chordata; Aves; Galliformes; Phasianidae. The record is from RNAcentral.
CCUCAUGCUAGCCACUUUACAUUGUUGUUUUGCUGGUGGUGGUCUAAAGAUUUCAUUUUUAUAGGCCCUCAAAGCCUAGGAAAAACUUGCUGCGCCACCGAACUAAAGAAGGUGCUGAGAAAACCCACAAGAUGUGCAGUUGCUGCCUGGCUUGAUUGGAUAACUUCGUGUGGUGCUUUCUCACAGUGAGGCCUGGGUUUGUUCUAACAUCUGGAAGAAGUGACAAGCUGCAGUCACCAAAGAUUAUAACGCAGUGGCUACUUGCUUCAGGUAUGUGUUACAUGAACCUGGAAACUCCAAGCACACCUUUACAUUUCAGCAAAUCCAAUGGUUGUGCAA